UACAUGGUCCGGGAUGGUAUACUAUACAAGCGUAUGGUUCAAAAAGAUACUUUGAAUUAAGAAGUACAAGAAAGUUAACUUCAUUAGACAAAAAGAAAAAACAGGCAAGAAUAGUACAUAGUUAUAAAUACUGUGGAGAGUGAGGUGUAAUAUGGGAGCAGCUGAUUUUUGGGGUUUCAUAUAUGUAGUUUCAAGAUUAGCUAUUGUUGCGGCAGUGGUUUACUUCUUAUACUUAUUGAGAAAAAUUGCAAAUAA
Molecule: small RNA, 255 nt
Filed under: Listeria monocytogenes
Lineage: Bacteria; Bacillati; Bacillota; Bacilli; Caryophanales; Listeriaceae
Description: rli43
Rfam family: Listeria sRNA rli43
Source: RNAcentral